Molecule: ribosomal RNA, 1295 nt
Filed under: uncultured bacterium
Lineage: Bacteria
Description: bacterial SSU rRNA
Rfam family: Bacterial small subunit ribosomal RNA
Source: RNAcentral
GAACGGAAUCAAGAGGAGCUUGCUUUUCUUGAUUUAGUGGCGAACGGGUGAGUAACGCGUGAGUAACCUGCCCUGGAGUGGGGGACAACAGUUGGAAACGACUGCUAAUACCGCAUAAGCCCACGGUGCUGCAUGGCACUGCGGGAAAAGGAUUUAUUCGCUUCAGGAUGGACUCGCGUCCAAUUAGCUAGUUGGUGAGGUAACGGCCCACCAAGGCGACGAUUGGUAGCCGGACUGAGAGGUUGAACGGCCACAUUGGGACUGAGACACGGCCCAGACUCCUACGGGAGGCAGCAGUGGGGGAUAUUGCACAAUGGGGGAAACCCUGAUGCAGCGACGCCGCGUGGAGGAAGAAGGUUUUCGGAUUGUAAACUCCUGUCGUUAGGGACGAUAAUGACGGUACCUAACAAGAAAGCACCGGCUAACUACGUGCCAGCAGCCGCGGUAAAACGUAGGGUGCAAGCGUUGUCCGGAAUUACUGGGUGUAAAGGGAGCGCAGGCGGACCGGCAAGUUGGAAGUGAAAUCCAUGGGCUCAACCCGUGAAUUGCUUUCAAAACUGCUGGCCUUGAGUAGUGCAGAGGUAGGUGGAAUUCCCGGUGUAGCGGUGGAAUGCGUAGAUAUCGGGAGGAACACCAGUGGCGAAGGCGACCUACUGGGCACCAACUGACGCUGAGGCUCGAAAGCAUGGGUAGCAAACAGGAUUAGAUACCCUGGUAGUCCAUGCCGUAAACGAUGAUUACUAGGUGUUGGAGGAUUGACCCCUUCAGUGCCGCAGUUAACACAAUAAGUAAUCCACCUGGGGAGUACGACCGCAAGGUUGAAACUCAAAGGAAUUGACGGGGGCCCGCACAAGCAGUGGAGUAUGUGGUUUAAUUCGAAGCAACGCGAAGAACCUUACCAGGUCUUGACAUCCGAUGCAUAGUGCAGAGAUGCAUGAAGUCCUUCGGGACAUCGAGACAGGUGGUGCAUGGUUGUCGUCAGCUCGUGUCGUGAGAUGUUGGGUUAAGUCCCGCAACGAGCGCAACCCUUAUUGCCAGUUACUACGCAAGAGGACUCUGGCGAGACUGCCGUUGACAAAACGGAGGAAGGUGGGGAUGACGUCAAAUCAUCAUGCCCUUUAUGACUUGGGCUACACACGUACUACAAUGGCGUUAAACAAAGAGAAGCAAGACCGCGAGGUGGAGCAAAACUCAGAAACAACGUCCCAGUUCGGACUGCAGGCUGCAACUCGCCUGCACGAAGUCGGAAUUGCUAGUAAUCGCAGAUCAGCAUGCUGCGGUGAAUACGUUCCCGG